ACCGGUUUCGACGUGGGUUGCGAACCUUCAGGGGCGUACCGAGGUGCAGUGCCCUCGUAAAUCACUCUGCAAACUUAUAGUUGCUAACGACGACAACUACGCCUUAGCCGCCUAAUCGCGGUUGACCUCCGACCGGUUCGUGCCUGUGCGACUGAAUCGGGGGACGCGUUCACAGGAUCGCGAUCCGCGCGUGCGACGGGCCGGAUCGUUAAGAGUCACCGUCCGCUGGCGCGGCGUCUUCCCUGCCCCUCGGGUAGCGCAGCGUGAGAACCAAAGAGCGGGCUACGUACGUAGAUCCUGAAGUCUAGGACUUGCGGACGGGGGUUCGAUCA
This 332-nucleotide transfer-messenger RNA is filed under the name Gammaproteobacteria bacterium. It matches the Rfam family "transfer-messenger RNA". From Rfam's summary of the family: Bacterial tmRNA, also known as 10Sa RNA or SsrA, is named for its dual tRNA and mRNA-like properties. Lineage: Bacteria; Pseudomonadati; Pseudomonadota; Gammaproteobacteria. The record is from RNAcentral.